Long non-coding RNA from Suricata suricatta (meerkat), 511 nucleotides. RefSeq lists it as uncharacterized. The transcript is spliced from 3 exons. Lineage: Eukaryota; Metazoa; Chordata; Mammalia; Carnivora; Herpestidae. The record is from RefSeq and is a predicted model, not a curated record.
GGGAACCUUAAAGCCAGAUGACAGCAGGGACUCUCUCUGGUGUGCUGCUCCAUUUUCAAGAAGUACUAAAGCAAAUGCAUGACCAGACUGAAGGAUGCCUGACUUUCCAUAUCUGAUGACUUCUAGAAGAGAGGAGAGUGAGACAGGAGGCCGGUGGAGGAUCUCCAACAGGCACCCAGUCUUGCCCUGUGUGAAACUGCAGGCGAACCCAACCCCCGCUGUCUGCAGGCAGGCUUCUCCCAUGGACCGCGCACCACCGGACACCAUAGGAGUCCUGUGGCGAUUCCACUGUCUCUGUCUUCCCAGCCCUGGCUGCAGUUUUGGACCAGGAGGCAAACACAGCAUCUGGGGCUGAAGUUGUCACAACCACGGUUUCGUGGUCACUUCUGAAAUGACCCUGGGCCCAAGCGCAGUGGUCCUAUUUUUGCUGCAGGUUUACUAUGUGAUCCUGGGCACAUCAUGUCACCCCCUUGCACCCCCCCCCAGGCUCUGUCAUGCUAUCACAUGAAUA